This 479-nucleotide ribosomal RNA is filed under the name uncultured bacterium. RNAcentral describes it as "bacterial SSU rRNA". It matches the Rfam family "Bacterial small subunit ribosomal RNA", at positions 28 to 521 of the family's 1533-position model. The record is from RNAcentral.
GACGAACGCUGGCGGCGCGCCUAACACAUGCAAGUCGAACGAGCGAGAGAGAGCUUGCUUUCUCGAGCGAGUGGCGAACGGGUGAGUAACGCGUGAGGAACCUGCCUCAAAGAGGGGGACAACAGUUGGAAACGACUGCUAAUACCGCAUAAUAUAUAUGGACCGCAUGAUCUGUAUAUCAAAGAUUUAUCGCUGAAAGAUGGACUCGCGUCUGAUUAGCUAGUUGGUGAGGUAACGGCCCACCAAGGCGACGAUCAGUAGCCGGACUGAGAGGUUGAACGGCCACAUUGGGACUGAGAUACGGCCCAGACUCCUACGGGAGGCAGCAGUGGGGAAUAUUGCACAAUGGGGGGAAACCCUGAUGCAGCGACGCCGCGUGGAGGAAGAAGGUCUUCGGAUUGUAAACUCCUGUUGUUGAGGAAGAUAAUGACGGUACUCAACAAGGAAGUGACGGCUAACUACGUGCCAGCAGCCGCGGU